Molecule: ribosomal RNA, 450 nt
Filed under: uncultured delta proteobacterium
Lineage: Bacteria; Deltaproteobacteria
Description: bacterial SSU rRNA
Rfam family: Bacterial small subunit ribosomal RNA
Source: RNAcentral
GCGGUGGAGCAUGUGGUUCAAUCGACGCAACGCGAAGAACCUUACCUGGGCUUGACAUCCGCUGACCGUCCUGGAAACAGGAUCUUCCCGCAAGGGACGGCGAGACAGGUGCUGCAUGGCUGUCGUCAGCUCGUAUCGUGAGAUGUUGGGUUAAGUCCCGCAACGAGCGCAACCCUCAUCCUUAGUUGCCAUCAUUGAGUUGGGCACUCUAAGGAAACUGCCCCGGUUAACGGGAGGAAGGUGGGGAUGACGUCAAGUCCUCAUGGCCUUUAUGUCCAGGGCUACACACGUGCUACAAUGGGCGGUACAAAGGGUUGCAAUACCGUAAGGUGGAGCUAAUCCCAAAAAGCCGCUCUCAGUUCAGAUUAGAGUCUGCAACUCGACUUUAUGAAGGCGGAAUCGCUAGUAAUCGCGGAUCAGCAUGCCGCGGUGAAUACGUUCCCGGGCCUU